This 531-nucleotide long non-coding RNA is filed under the name Nicotiana benthamiana. Its description in RNAcentral is "long non-coding RNA (NBEN_LNC002913)". Lineage: Eukaryota; Viridiplantae; Streptophyta; Magnoliopsida; Solanales; Solanaceae. The record is from RNAcentral.
GAAAUACUUGUAACCGAGGAAGAAGGCAGCACUAACCUGAGGAAGAAGGCAGCAGUCGCAGUCGCACACUCGCACAGACGCAGUCGUAGAGGAACAGUCGCAGGCUCGCAGCUCACAGAGACACAGUCACACUGUCGCAGAGGAGACUGGAGAGUGGAGAGGAACUGAUAAAUUGAGAAUCGAUGAAGACUGAAGAGGAUCUGAGGAACCCUAGACCUAAAAUUUUAAAUUGGGUCUAUGAGGUACCGAGGAACUUAGGAACUGAAUGGAUUUUGACGCUAAAUUGAGUGAGCCGGUGAGGUACUGAGGCGGGCUUGGACAUUUGGGCAACUGGGCUUGGACAAUAUUUGUUAUAUGUUAUUUAUAACUUAUAUAGUCUUAUACGGAUAGAGUCUAAAACUCUAAAUAUUUAAUAGUACUACUCCUAAAUUUCGGUUUUUUGGUUUAACCGAAAGUCGAAUUACAUAAAUCGUACACCGCAUUAAAAAAUCAAAAAUUAAUAAUUAUAAAAUUGUGAACCGAUCAAAAAAC